This 348-nucleotide long non-coding RNA is filed under the name Nicotiana tabacum (common tobacco). Its description in RNAcentral is "long non-coding RNA (NTAB_LNC001922)". The record is from RNAcentral. Lineage: Eukaryota; Viridiplantae; Streptophyta; Magnoliopsida; Solanales; Solanaceae.
UUUUACCUUCAACCAUUGACUCCAGCUGAGGCAGCCCAGAGAGUUAAGGAUUCAGCCAAGGAGAUUGUUAGCGUCAAGAAUUUCAUCGACAAGAAGGCCUGGCCAUAUGUCCAGAAUGACCUUCGUCUCAGAGCAGAAUACCUUCGCUAUGACCUUAAGACCGUCAUCUCUGCUAAGCCAAAAGAAGAGAAGGGAAAACUCCAGGACCUGACUGGAAAGCUCUUGAAGACAAUUAGUGAUGUAAGUCAAAUCUCUACAUUCUUGGUUACAUGAAUGUCUAUGUCAUAGUAUUUCAAAAGUAGUGAAAUUAUGUGCAUAGAAAUCCAAAGGGCUGCUUAUGUUUUCGCA